RNAcentral lists this ribosomal RNA (497 nucleotides) under uncultured bacterium. RNAcentral's name for it is "partial 16S ribosomal RNA". It matches the Rfam family "Bacterial small subunit ribosomal RNA", at positions 28 to 507 of the family's 1533-position model. The record is from RNAcentral.
GACGAACGCUGGCGGCGUGCCUAAUACAUGCAAGUUGAGCGAUGAAGAUUGGUGCUUGCACCAAUUUGAAGAGCAGCGAACGGGUGAGUAACGCGUGGGGAAUCUGCCUUUGAGCGGGGGACAACAUUUGGAAACGAAUGCUAAUACCGCAUAACAACUUUAAACAUAAGUUUUAAGUUUGAAAGAUGCAAUUGCAUCACUCAAAGAUGAUCCCGCGUUGUAUUAGCUAGUUGGUGAGGUAAAGGCUCACCAAGGCGAUGAUACAUAGCCGACCUGAGAGGGUGAUCGGCCACAUUGGGAAUGAGACACGGCCCAAACUCCUACGGGAGGCAGCAGUAGGGAAUCUUCGGCAAUGGACGAAAGUCUGACCGAGCAACGCCGCGUGAAUGAAGAAGGUUUUCGGAUCGUAAAACUCUGUUGGUAGAGAAGAACGUUGGUGAGAGUGGAAAGCUCAUCAAGUGACGGUAACUACCCAGAAAGGGACGGCUAACUACGUG